UUUAGCCCCUCUUGUAUCUUCAGUGUCUAGUCAAUCUCUUGGUUCACCAGAGGCCUUGACAUAUACG
Molecule: unclassified non-coding RNA, 67 nt
Organism: Carlito syrichta (Philippine tarsier)
Lineage: Eukaryota; Metazoa; Chordata; Mammalia; Primates; Tarsiidae
Source: Ensembl